CGGUAUUGCCUCAGCGAAAUGCCAACCCAAAAGAUAACAUAACGGAACACUCCUCGCUGGAGUGGGGCCACGCCGACCCGACAGGUGCGCCCCUACGCAAGGCAGCGCUUCGCUCGGACAGCGACAGGGGACUGUGGAGUCUUCGACAGCAAGUGACAACAAUUACAGAUAAUGGCUGCAAAAAGGAAGUCAACAAAUACAAGUGAUACAUUUCAGCAUGAUUGAGAAGGAAAUUCUGCCAAUUCUGCGCACAAAGGUGUACCCUUCUAUGGAAACGAACCAAACUCAAUCCAAGGGCUUUUCUGUGUCCAUGGAUAACAGAACGGCAAUGCCUCCCGAAACUGUAGCGCAAUCUCCGCCUCCGCCUCCGCCACCGUCUCUGCCCCGGCAUUCCGAUACGCAAUUACAUUAAGAGCAGAGAGCUAAUUAGCUUCCAGUACGCCCCCCGAACUGGUUGCGGUGCCCUGGCAGAGAUACGCACGGCACAGCAGAAUACCAUCAGGGUCGGUGCUGCCGUAGUGCCAGAUAAAGACAGCAUUUCGAUUUGUCAACAAAACAAUAGUGUUUUUUUGUUGUUGUUUUCUUAGCAAA
Molecule: long non-coding RNA, 591 nt
Organism: Drosophila guanche
Lineage: Eukaryota; Metazoa; Arthropoda; Insecta; Diptera; Drosophilidae
Exons: 2
Source: RefSeq, a predicted model, not a curated record